CUCACAUGAAUGCAUGUUUUCAUGUCGUCAAUUCCCAGCAGCUCGGUUAUCCAGCAAAAUGUCUGCGGUCUGUGAAUAGCAAAUAUACAUAAACUACUGUGAUUAAUAACUCAGUAACUGUUUCUACCUUGGUAUGUAACACUAGAUUUCAGCCUGCUGUAUUUCUUUCUUACCUAUUUGUUUUGCAAGAGAAACAUGGUAAAAGAUAGCACUACUAGUUGUCCCAAUGGAAUUGCACAUCAUUUUGGCAAUCGUUGCUCCACCCAAAAGGUAACUGCCUGUGAUGGAACAAUGGCCCUGAGCAACAUAUAAAUAUAUACAUACAUAUUUAUGUAUGCAAUAUCUACAAUGCUAAUUACUACCAUCUAUUCUCACUGCCAAUGGAAACAAACUAUUUUCUUUGGAAUCAUUGAUGGAUAUAAAAAGUUUAAUUUGCUAUUAACUGCUUUCAUAUUCUGUUUAGUUCUUAUAGUAUGGUAAAUGAUACAGGUGCAGUAUCAGUAUUGUAACAUUGUGUGGUGAAAACUACAAAAGUCAUUCUGUGGAUAUAUUUUACAAGGCAGACCAGAAACUAUAUUUCAGAUUCUUGUGUGAAUAUAAUUACAGAAAUAGGUAACUAUUUUUUAUGUGUUUGCAUAAAUGACUCCAUUUCAUAUACAUUGUAAUUUAGCACCAAUCAUAAUAAAUCAUUUGGUAAC
Molecule: long non-coding RNA, 698 nt
Filed under: Bos taurus (domestic cattle)
Lineage: Eukaryota; Metazoa; Chordata; Mammalia; Artiodactyla; Bovidae
Description: long non-coding RNA NONBTAT023409
Source: RNAcentral